AUGGUGGGUGCGAGCCAUGCCCGCGCCUGGAGAUGCCAAGGGGACUCAGGAGCAGCUGGGGGCUCUGGGCUCCGAGCGCUAAGCCUGAUGCCCGGGCCUGCGCCAGGGUGGCCAGGUGGACAGAGGGAGCUGGGCUGCAGCCAGGAGUGUCCAGUGUGGCCCUUGCAGAGAGGGGCCCAGGCCCUCAUGGGGCUCAGCCUCCCUGCCCCCACCCCACUUCUGGAGCUGUCCCCCCAGGUGUCACCAGAGCCACCAGCGUGGCGGACCCAGCGCCGCCCUCCCCUGCACCCACACUGCAGGCAGCACAGCGACUCUGGAGGACGCGUGGCUCUGCAGCCCAGGACGUGCCCCGACCGCACCUGCAGGCCUCCCUCUUCUGGGGCCGUGGGCACUGGCUCCCUGCACCUGCCGUGGGCGCGCCUUCCUCCGGGCCGCAUACCUGGCGCUGGGGUGCAGGCCCUGGCCUGCUCCACAUCCUGCUCUGCCCGCCUGCGGGCGUCUCCUCCUGCAGUCACCCCGAGCCUCUUGCACCACCAGGGUUUCCUGCCCCACCUGGCGGUGAGGUGGGGGCGGCUCCACCCUCUGCCUCCCAUCCACACAGCCCACAGCAGCCUCCCUUCGGCCGUCUGCUGCGUGUCAAUCCUUUGCUUACUGUGGUUUUUCAAGAAGCAAACUGAUGACGAUGCUGUGGGCUCCAACUGCACAACACCCUGGACGAGAGGGAGGGGGCGGGGGGAACAGGGGUCUGUGAUGGUGGGAAGGUACCUGGAGGGCAUGGCUGGUGGUCCUUCCCUGUCAGAACCAACACACAAGCUCUUUGUAAAAUCAAGUUCUCUUUGCUCCUGGACCUUAAACAUCGCGGUCGUGGUUUCCAGCCCUAAGGGACCACAGGGAUGGGUGUGUUCAGAGUGGGCCGGCUCAGGGAUGCUGAGAAACAAGGGACAGCAUGCCGCUCAGACUGCACAGGUGGGAGCUGGGCCAUCUGCUGAGGCUCCUGCCUCUCGGAGCGCCGCCCACCAUCCCACUGGCCCCCAGGGCUUGACUGCGGGGCCUCUGUGUUCGUGCUUCUCUCCCAGCGAUAGCAUGGCAGAAGGCUUUCUACGGAUGGCCGAGCCCACACCACCAGCUUUUCUGACCUCAGCAGCGACUGAAGUGCUCAAAGGGCUCGCCAUGGGGGGAGUGGAAAAUCUUGUUUCUUGCUUUAUUGGAAUUUUCCACAUAGGCCUUUGUGUUUCCUUCAAGCUCUGUUUCCUG
Molecule: long non-coding RNA, 1254 nt
Filed under: Sus scrofa (pig)
Lineage: Eukaryota; Metazoa; Chordata; Mammalia; Artiodactyla; Suidae
Description: lncRNA (ENSSSCG00070015007.1)
Source: RNAcentral